RNAcentral lists this small nuclear RNA (321 nucleotides) under Oryctolagus cuniculus (rabbit). RNAcentral's name for it is "7SK RNA". It matches the Rfam family "7SK RNA". Rfam says of the family: 7SK was discovered as an abundant small nuclear RNA in the mid-70s but a possible function has only recently been suggested. Lineage: Eukaryota; Metazoa; Chordata; Mammalia; Lagomorpha; Leporidae. The record is from Rfam by way of RNAcentral.
AGAUGUGAGGGCAAUCUGGCUGCGACAUCCGUCACCCCACCGAUGGCCAGGGUUGAUUCGCGGAUCUGGCUGCCUGGGUGGUGUCCCCUUCCUCCCUCGCCACUCCAUGUGCAUCCGUCGUCAAAGAGGACGGACUUCCCUGGUAGAGGAGGACCAGUCUUCCUUCAAGGGUACACAAGUAGCUGCACUCCCCUGCUAGAACCUCCAAACAAGCUCCCAAGGGAGCUAGAGAAUGAGAUUCAGCGGUCCGGGGGCCAGACCACCCCCAGGGACUUCCAGCAGAGGCCCCCCUGCCACCACCCGUGGCUGCUGAAGCUGCCU